This 69-nucleotide transfer RNA is filed under the name Penaeus stylirostris (blue shrimp). RNAcentral describes it as "tRNA-Asn". It matches the Rfam family "tRNA". Rfam says of the family: Transfer RNA (tRNA) molecules are approximately 80 nucleotides in length. Their secondary structure includes four short double-helical elements and three loops (D, anti-codon, and T loops). The record is from RNAcentral. Lineage: Eukaryota; Metazoa; Arthropoda; Malacostraca; Decapoda; Penaeidae.
UUGGUUAAAGCCAAAUUAGAGGCUUAUCACUGUUAAUGAUAGAAAUGGAGUUCAAAUCUUCUAACCAAG